UGGAGAGACUGGAAAACUUCCCCUCAAUUUUUCUGUGAUGUUGAGUAAUUCUCCUGCUGCUUCCCACCUCACUGUGUUCUUAAUUAUCAGCUUAUAACGCCACU
This is a non-coding RNA of Tinamus guttatus (white-throated tinamou), 104 nucleotides long. NCBI's taxonomy places the organism in Eukaryota, Metazoa, Chordata, Aves, Tinamiformes, Tinamidae. The record is from RefSeq and is a predicted model, not a curated record.